Molecule: long non-coding RNA, 1435 nt
Organism: Armigeres subalbatus
Lineage: Eukaryota; Metazoa; Arthropoda; Insecta; Diptera; Culicidae
Exons: 3
Source: RefSeq, a predicted model, not a curated record
GCGCACAGCACAGCGAUACCAACAACAUCCACCGCGCAGCGACCGCAGCACGUAUGUAAGGAGUAGGCAGCACUCACCGUGGAUCGGCGGUACCUUGCCCUCUCGUACUCACACACAGCACCGUUCUCGCUCGCGGUUCGACCGUCCGCCGUCCCAUCGAGCAGCGCGCCGUGCUUCACCGCUGCAGGCCCCGGUCGACGGGGUUUAGUCGGAGAAAAAAUCGAGCGCCGAAUAGUAGGAAGAUUCCUCUUCUCUUCUUUUCGCCAAGUGUGUCGUCUGUCUGCGGUGACCGCGAGUCCUAGAAAUCCGUGUGUCCGAUCCGGUGUGCGUGGUCGACGGGUCUCGGCGUUCUGUCCUGUGUCCUGUCAACGAGUCCUGUGCUCUGUCUGUGCCUGCGUACCGUACGCGUGUCUUGUCCCAUCGCCGACCUUUGCCGUACCCGUGCGACCGUCCGUGUGGGAGUGCGAGAAAAGCUGGAAAAGCCACCCUCCCAGUGCUGUGCGGGAAAAUUGCGACCAAUCCCUGUGCGAAUUGCGCGAUUUUUCAUGCCGGUUCAGCCGCGACGAUUACGGCGACGCGCGUCCGAAAGUGUGGUGCGUUGAGUGUUGUGUCCGUGCUCUGCGACGUCGACGUUUCGUUCCUCAGCUAUCCUGAUCUCAGCCAGCCAGUUCCGGGUGGGCAUACUCCUUCGACGAAAGCGACGACCAAACGCGAAUCCUUGCUGCCGUCGUUGUUUUGUUUUGGGUUUGCCCGGUGGAAAGGAAAGGAAAAAACGUAGAAAGGAGAGAUCUCACGGUGGUUACCAACAGCGGAAAUAUUGUCGCCUAUCAGAAGCGGGUGUUCCUCGAAAGCAGAGUUCUAGAGGAAAAUAAGAAGAAAAAGUUGCUACCUGAGUAAAAAGUCUUAUCGCUACCGAAUAAUCGAAGAGCACUGUUGUUGCAAGUCAGUCAGCCAAAAGCCGAAUUCAAGCUGAAGAGAAGUGAAUUGUGAAAUCCUGAAAAUAGUUUCAAAGGGUCGCCCGAGCUGCAGAGCCGAGAGCAGAGUCAAGUGGUUAUAUUAACUAACAACAGCUCUGCACACGCCCACAAAGCAACAGCGCGAAAGCAAUAACAACAACCCACCCAGCGCCACCACCUUCGAAAAGGGAAGAAAAAUCGCAGCAACCACCAUCAUGAGCGACAGGGAUCGAGCAUCGCCAACUUUGAUCGAGUCCGGAUUAAAGACGCUGAUAGGAGGCCGCGAUAGCAACUAUCCCCUGAUAAGCGGGACAAAUGGUAAUGUUCAUCAAAUCAACAAGUAUUAUAGGAAUUUUGGGUUAUAUUUCCAAGUUUCGUAAGUUGCUAUAAAUAUAUAAUUUUUUGAAUGAAUUAUUACAUUUGUCUUGAAGAUAGUAGAGUUAUCUAUUGUUUAUAUGAGAAAAAAAAAAUUAAAAUCA